CGAUCUGCUGCGGGCAGAUGAAGUGGAUAUGCGCGUCGAAGCCGCCCGCCGUCAGGAUCCUGCCCUCGCCGGCGAUUGCUUCGGUGCCCGGCCCGACGACGAUGGUGACGCCCGGCUGGGUAUCCGGAUUGCCGGCCUUGCCGAUGCCGGCGAUGCGUCCGUCCCUGAGCCCGAUAUCGGCCUUGUAUAUGCCGGUGUGGUCGAGCACGAGCGCAUUGGUGAUGACGGUAUCGACGGCGCCGUCGGCGCGGCUCGCUUGGCUCUGGCCCAUGCCGUCGCG
This 280-nucleotide small RNA is filed under the name Neoaquamicrobium sediminum. RNAcentral's name for it is "5' ureB small RNA". It matches the Rfam family "5' ureB small RNA". The record is from RNAcentral. Lineage: Bacteria; Pseudomonadati; Pseudomonadota; Alphaproteobacteria; Hyphomicrobiales; Phyllobacteriaceae.